Non-coding RNA from Pelobates cultripes (western spadefoot toad), 210 nucleotides. The record is from the annotation of a GenBank genome assembly. NCBI's taxonomy places the organism in Eukaryota, Metazoa, Chordata, Amphibia, Anura, Pelobatidae.
GCGUCUCCUCCCAGAGAUGCAUUAUACUUUGAAGAUGCCAAAUGUCAAGACUCUGAAUAUUGCAAGUCCACAGUCUGACAACUUACCUGGGUCGCACGGAGUCCCUGCAGCUACAUCUGGUGCGUCUGAUCUUUUAGAGUAGUAAAAAGCAGGACCACACUCAUUGGCGGAGAGUGUCAGCUGAGGAGAAAUAAAACAGCUGUUGCCAAG